CAAUAAAAUUGAGAAUGGAAAUGGGGAAUGUGCCAAAGAGACAACAACCCGACCAUAGAAAAAAACAAUAGCAGAAGGUCACCAACAGGUCUUCAAUGUAGCGAGAAAUUCCCGCACCCGGAGGCGUCCUUCAACUGGCCCCUAAACAAAUAUAUACUAGUUCAGUGAUAAUGAACGCCAUACUAAUUUCCAAAUUGUACACAAGA
RNAcentral lists this long non-coding RNA (206 nucleotides) under Mytilus galloprovincialis (Mediterranean mussel). The record is from RNAcentral. Lineage: Eukaryota; Metazoa; Mollusca; Bivalvia; Mytilida; Mytilidae.